RNA transcript from Populus nigra (black poplar), 1504 nucleotides. It is a transcript of the gene named plastid-lipid-associated protein, chloroplastic-like, with no coding region annotated. The transcript has 4 exons. The record is from RefSeq and is a predicted model, not a curated record. NCBI's taxonomy places the organism in Eukaryota, Viridiplantae, Streptophyta, Magnoliopsida, Malpighiales, Salicaceae.
AGUUUAGGACAACGGGUGGGUGACAACAUCAUAGUUUAGUUGCCUGUCUUCGAUACUCUGUUUCAUAGAGAACAACCCACCUCUCUUCCUCUCUGUCUUGGAAACCAAAGUUCAAAGAAUGGCAGCCAUCUCUCAAUUAAAUCAAUUUCCAUGCAAGACUCUCUCUUCAAAAACACCUCUAUUCUCCCACUUUACUUCUUCAAGACCCUCGAUUAUCCCUCUAAACUCGAUCAAGAACAACCCAACAACCAACAAUUCGAUCUUGAAACCAAGAAUUCUGGUAACCAGAGAACAACCCACCAAGAAAAGGAAUCUUUUCUUGGUUAAGGCUGUGGAUGAGGACGAGGGGAGUCCAGAAAAUGAAGGCCCUCCGGUUGCUUUGGCUGAGAAGGGGGAGGAGGAGCUGAAAGAGCUGGCAGAGGUUGAUCGCUUGAAGGGACAGCUGGUGGAUACUUUUUAUGGGACUGAUCGUGGACUGAAUGCUACCAGUGAGACUAGAGCUGAGGUUGUGGAGCUUAUUACUCAGCUUGAAGCCAGAAACCCCAAUCCUGCUCCCACUGAGGCCUUGACUCUGCUCAAUGGCAAAUGGAUUCUUGCAUACACAUCUUUUGCGGGCUUGUUCCCAUUGCUGUCAAGGGGUACACUGCCAUUGGUAAAGGUUGAGGAAAUAUCUCAGACGAUCGACUCGGAGAACUUAACUGUCCAGAAUUCUGUGCAAUUCUCAGGGCCGCUGGCUACUACAUCCAUUAGUACCAAUGCCAAAUUUGAAGUCCGAAGCCCCAAGCGUGUGCAGAUCAAGUUUGAAGAAGGCAUUAUUGGGACUCCGAAGCUGACAGACUCAAUAGAGUUACCGGAAAAUGUGGAAUUUCUGGGACAAAAGAUCGACCUCACACCCUUUAGAGGCAUAAUCUCCUCUGUGCAGGAUACAGCCUCAUCUGUUGCAAAGACCAUUUCCAGCCAACCACCAUUGAAGUUUUCUAUCCCAAACAGGAAUGCUGAAUCAUGGUUGCUAACCACAUACCUUGACGAUGACCUUCGGAUUUCAAGAGGUGAUGCUGGCAGUAUAUUUGUGCUCAUUAAGGAAGGCAGUCCCCUCUUGACACCCUGAACAAACCAAAAAAAGAAGAAUCUCCCUAUCAUUUUUCUUUCUUUUCUUCCCCAUGUUUUUCCACCUUUUCGUACAGUGCUGCUUUGCGAAGGAGAUAUUAAAUUAUGUAUGUAAUAUUAUAUGUGUGAAACUAGAAAACUUGAUGAAGAUGGGUUUACACAUUUUUCAUGUACUUUGCCCCAAAGUUUCUGUUCAGGUAAAACUGCCUCGACGCUUGAAGAACCAUGAUAGCUGAUGGAGCUAUAUUUACUUCUGUAUGGAAUUCAAGGACUGAUCGUUUCCUUCAUUUCUAUGAAAGUGAGAAAACAGAAAGAAGCUACUUAUUUGUGAAUGUUAGAUAAUGGAAAACAAUGUACAAUAUCCUCUUGUUUGGAGAUGUUAGAAAGUGUUUUUGAA